RNAcentral lists this ribosomal RNA (253 nucleotides) under uncultured bacterium. RNAcentral's name for it is "partial 16S ribosomal RNA". It matches the Rfam family "Bacterial small subunit ribosomal RNA", at positions 524 to 776 of the family's 1533-position model. The record is from RNAcentral.
UACAGAGACUGCAAGCGUUAUUCGGAUUCACUGGGCGUAAAGGGUGCGCAGGCGGCUGGUCAAGUCCGAUGUGAAAUCUCCCGGCUUAACUGGGAAACUGCAUCGGAAACUGAUCGGCUUGAAGGUGGGAGAGGGUAGUGGAAUUCCCGGUGUAGUGGUGAAAUGCGUAGAUAUCGGGAGGAACACCAGUGGCGAAGGCGACUACCUGGCCCAUUCUUGACGCUGAGGCGCGAAAGCUAGGGGAGCGAACGGG